This 327-nucleotide ribosomal RNA is filed under the name uncultured bacterium. RNAcentral's name for it is "bacterial SSU rRNA". It matches the Rfam family "Bacterial small subunit ribosomal RNA", at positions 442 to 776 of the family's 1533-position model. The record is from RNAcentral.
GGGUCAAUACCCUGUGGGGCUGACGGUACCUGAGGAAUAAGCCCCGUCUAACUUCGUGCCAGCAGCCGCGGUAAUACGAAGGGUGCAAGCGUUAAUCGGAAUUACUGGGCGUAAAGGGUGCGUAGGCGGUGGCUUAAGUCUGUCGUGAAAUCCCCGGGCUCAACCUGGGAAUGGCGAUGGAUACUGGGCAGCUAGAGUGUGUCAGAGGAUGGUGGAAUUCCCGGUGUAGCGGUGAAAUGCGUAGAGAUCGGGAGGAACAUCAGUGGCGAAGGCGGCCAUCUGGGACAACACUGACGCUGAAGCACGAAAGCGUGGGGAGCAAACAGG